CCUACGGGAGGCAGCAGUGAGGAAUAUUGGUCAAUGGACGCAACUCUGAACCAGCCACGCCGCGUGCAGGAAGAAGGCCCUCGGGUUGUAAACUUCUUUUCUUCGGGACGAAACAAAUGACGGUACCGAAUGAAUAAGCCACGGCUAACUACGUGCCAGCAGCCGCGGUAAUACGUAGGUGGCAAGCGUUAUCCGGAUUUACUGGGUGUAAAGGGCGUGUAGGCGGUAGGGCAAGUCAGAAGUGAAAUUCCAGGGCUCAACCUUGGAACUGGGUGUGAAACUGUUCGGCUUGAGUGAUGGAGAGGCAGGCGGAAUUCCGGGUGUAGCGGUGAAAUGCGUAGAUAUACGGAGGAACACCAGUGGCGAAGGCGGCCUGCUGGACAUUAACUGACGCUGAGGCGCGAAAGCGUGGGGAGCAAACAGGAUUAGAUACCCCUGUAGUC
RNAcentral lists this ribosomal RNA (443 nucleotides) under uncultured bacterium. Its description in RNAcentral is "partial 16S ribosomal RNA". It matches the Rfam family "Bacterial small subunit ribosomal RNA", at positions 338 to 795 of the family's 1533-position model. The record is from RNAcentral.